ACAUCCCCAAAACUAUUCACAAAUAUAAACAUUGUCGCCAAACAUCUCUCUCUGUGGCAAACACAAAACCAUGAAACGCCGAUUUGAAGGCGGACCAGGAGAAUCCGCGGAGGGGGAGAAUCCAAUUCCGGCCCAACCCACAAAGCUCCGAGAUGCAGAUAAGAAUAAAGAAAAAAUUUCUGUUAAAGACUCCGACGACCCAUCUCACAAAAGUAGAGGCUGCUCAAGACUCUCAGACUCAACUCCAGCUUGAGGAGAAGAAUACUCUUCCAUCUUUUCUCAAGGAGGACAAUAAUCCCACAUGCCUAGCCCGUCCUAAACUCAUAAUCAAGCCAGGCACAUUUUCCUCUAUGCCGUCUACUUGUCCAAUUUGCUCUGAGUAUGGACACUUUCCUGGUAUGUGCCCCUGGAGGAAACGGCUCCCAAAGGGCGUAACUCAGGUUGGCAAGGGCUAUGUAGUAAAGUGGGGGCGUGCUGUUUUUCUUGAGUGUGUUUAUUGUUAUGAGAUUGGUACCCACAUGCUUAAUGACUGCCCGCAUUUUAAAAAACUACUUGAGGAAAAUGGAGGGGAUGCGCCCUUGCACCUCUGUUUCCUCGGUCAUAGACCACUUGCUGAUUCCUGAAGCUGAGGAGGACUAUGAAAAUAGACUGCGUUUUCAAGUUUGUGCUCUUUUGGUUGGUGGAAGUAAACUUUUACAUACUUUCUCCAGGCAUGGCUACUCUUAUUCAUCCUCGAAUUAUACCUCUUGCUGAAUCUGGAACAAAGAUGGGGGACCGAAUAUAGCGGAAUCGUGAUGUCAAGAGACAGGAUAAAGGAUGGUGCGGUGCGGCUUAAAAAUCAGAACUUGGGGAAGAGACGAAUCGAUAUCUGUGAGUGUUGGGGUAGAAGAGAAAGAGUGUGUGUAUGGCUGAGAAAACCAAACAAUCGAAGUGAGAGCUGGCGACUCGAUUAGGAAGGUUUAUAAUUGCUUCGCUGAUGCUGUGUUUUAUGUAAAAUGGGGAAAAGAGAGGAGUGCUCAGAUAUCCUUGUUUUGCUUUUGGAUGCUUUGAUAAGUAGUGACAAACUGUUUUUUUUCAUAUGAAUCAAUAUUUAUUUUGUUUGUGCA
This is an RNA transcript of Pyrus x bretschneideri (Chinese white pear), 1106 nucleotides long. RefSeq lists it as uncharacterized. The transcript has 4 exons. Lineage: Eukaryota; Viridiplantae; Streptophyta; Magnoliopsida; Rosales; Rosaceae. The record is from RefSeq and is a predicted model, not a curated record.